CACGUAGGGCGCAAGCGUUGUCCGGAAUUAUUGGGCGUAAAGAGCUCGUAGGCGGUCUGUUACGUCUGCUGUGAAAACCCGGGGCUUAACCCUGGGCUUGCAGUGGAUACGGGCAGACUAGAGGCAGGUAGGGGAGAAUGGAAUUCCCGGUGUAGCGGUGAAAUGCGCAGAUAUCAGGAGGAACACCGGUGGCGAAGGCGGUUCUCUGGGCAUUACCUGACGCUGAGGAGCGAAAGUGUGGGGAGCGAACAGG
Molecule: ribosomal RNA, 253 nt
Filed under: uncultured bacterium
Lineage: Bacteria
Description: partial 16S ribosomal RNA
Rfam family: Bacterial small subunit ribosomal RNA
Source: RNAcentral